Molecule: ribosomal RNA, 441 nt
Filed under: uncultured bacterium
Lineage: Bacteria
Description: bacterial SSU rRNA
Rfam family: Bacterial small subunit ribosomal RNA
Source: RNAcentral
AGAGUUUGAUCCUGGCUCAGGACGAACGCUGGCGGCGUGCCUAACACAUGCAAGUCGAACGGAGAAUUUCAAAGAGCUUGCUUAGCGAAAUUUUUAGUGGCGGACGGGUGAGUAACGCGUGGGUAACCUACCCAUAAACCCGGGACAACCCUUGGAAACGAGGGCUAAUACCGGAUAAACUUUUGACUUGGCAUCAAGUCUUAAGAAAAGGUGGCCUCUGAAGAUGCUACCGAUUAUGGAUGGACCCGCGUCUGAUUAGCUAGUUGGUGGGGUAAAGGCCUACCAAGGCGACGAUCAGUAGCCGGCCUGAGAGGGUGAACGGCCACACUGGGAGUGAGACACGGCCCAGACUCCUACGGGAGGCAGCAGUGGGGAAUCUUCCGCAAUGGACGAAAGUCUGACGGAGCAACGCCGCGUGUAUGAUGAAGGUCUUCGGAUUGU